Molecule: ribosomal RNA, 1511 nt
Filed under: Klebsiella pneumoniae IS53
Lineage: Bacteria; Pseudomonadati; Pseudomonadota; Gammaproteobacteria; Enterobacterales; Enterobacteriaceae
Description: SSU rRNA
Rfam family: Bacterial small subunit ribosomal RNA
Source: RNAcentral
UUAAAUUGAAGAGUUUGAUCAUGGCUCAGAUUGAACGCUGGCGGCAGGCCUAACACAUGCAAGUCGAGCGGUAGCACAGAGAGCUUGCUCUCGGGUGACGAGCGGCGGACGGGUGAGUAAUGUCUGGGAAACUGCCUGAUGGAGGGGGAUAACUACUGGAAACGGUAGCUAAUACCGCAUAAUGUCGCAAGACCAAAGUGGGGGACCUUCGGGCCUCAUGCCAUCAGAUGUGCCCAGAUGGGAUUAGCUAGUAGGUGGGGUAAUGGCUCACCUAGGCGACGAUCCCUAGCUGGUCUGAGAGGAUGACCAGCCACACUGGAACUGAGACACGGUCCAGACUCCUACGGGAGGCAGCAGUGGGGAAUAUUGCACAAUGGGCGCAAGCCUGAUGCAGCCAUGCCGCGUGUGUGAAGAAGGCCUUCGGGUUGUAAAGCACUUUCAGCGGGGAGGAAGGCGGUGAGGUUAAUAACCUCAUCGAUUGACGUUACCCGCAGAAGAAGCACCGGCUAACUCCGUGCCAGCAGCCGCGGUAAUACGGAGGGUGCAAGCGUUAAUCGGAAUUACUGGGCGUAAAGCGCACGCAGGCGGUCUGUCAAGUCGGAUGUGAAAUCCCCGGGCUCAACCUGGGAACUGCAUUCGAAACUGGCAGGCUAGAGUCUUGUAGAGGGGGGUAGAAUUCCAGGUGUAGCGGUGAAAUGCGUAGAGAUCUGGAGGAAUACCGGUGGCGAAGGCGGCCCCCUGGACAAAGACUGACGCUCAGGUGCGAAAGCGUGGGGAGCAAACAGGAUUAGAUACCCUGGUAGUCCACGCCGUAAACGAUGUCGAUUUGGAGGUUGUGCCCUUGAGGCGUGGCUUCCGGAGCUAACGCGUUAAAUCGACCGCCUGGGGAGUACGGCCGCAAGGUUAAAACUCAAAUGAAUUGACGGGGGCCCGCACAAGCGGUGGAGCAUGUGGUUUAAUUCGAUGCAACGCGAAGAACCUUACCUGGUCUUGACAUCCACAGAACUUUCCAGAGAUGGAUUGGUGCCUUCGGGAACUGUGAGACAGGUGCUGCAUGGCUGUCGUCAGCUCGUGUUGUGAAAUGUUGGGUUAAGUCCCGCAACGAGCGCAACCCUUAUCCUUUGUUGCCAGCGGUCCGGCCGGGAACUCAAAGGAGACUGCCAGUGAUAAACUGGAGGAAGGUGGGGAUGACGUCAAGUCAUCAUGGCCCUUACGACCAGGGCUACACACGUGCUACAAUGGCAUAUACAAAGAGAAGCGACCUCGCGAGAGCAAGCGGACCUCAUAAAGUAUGUCGUAGUCCGGAUUGGAGUCUGCAACUCGACUCCAUGAAGUCGGAAUCGCUAGUAAUCGUAGAUCAGAAUGCUACGGUGAAUACGUUCCCGGGCCUUGUACACACCGCCCGUCACACCAUGGGAGUGGGUUGCAAAAGAAGUAGGUAGCUUAACCUUCGGGAGGGCGCUUACCACUUUGUGAUUCAUGACUGGGGUGAAGUCGUAACAAGGUAACCG